GCCAUGCUGCAGGCUCCGCUGUGUUUCUGAGGGAGGCUUUGGUGGUUCCGGGUUCCGUGCUGAGACCAGCUGCUAGGAGCUGUGAGGAGAGAGGGCGAGCUGGGGAUCCGCGCCAUGGUGAGCGGGGCCGCCGUCCCCACGCGGGGAGGAUCCGCGGGAGCCCGUGUGGGGUUGUCCCGGGGUGCGGGAACCGUCUGUUGGACGCGGCGCCCGGUGUGAUUCCGUUCGUUCACCUGAGGUUACUGAGGGUCUUUGCCCCUCGCAGGCGGAAACCGGACCUCUCCCUGGCACAGGUCCCCUGGCUGCGCCUGCGCACAGCCUGAGAAAUUGCUUGGAAACUCUUCGCGUCAUUCUGCAGGGCGCGCGCAUGCGCGGCUUUUAUUGUCAGGGAAGACAAGUGUUCUGACUGGCAGAGCUCUAGUUUCCUUAGCGUCUUCUACAAGUUCUUACUAGGCACUUGACAUUCACGCGUAGGGUACAUCUACAGUGAAUUCUGCGCAGGUCUAAAGACUGUGUCAUUAACACAUUCGCAUGUGUUAAUUCACGUGUGUUAGUAAGGCCAGACCCACUGUGUUUCCCUGCCUAAGUUGUCAAAAUCGACCGAAUAUUAAUUGCGAUUUUGUUCUAAUUGUUUUUUUAUGUUCUGCUGAUCUUUUUAUUCUUUCUCAAACAGCACAGUCUUUAUCGCAGGUGUAGGGUAACUUAGAAGUCAGACGGUGUCUCUGUGCUGUUUAUUCAGCCUUGUGUGCUCAUGUUUUCAUUCAUGAUGAUGUUUUGUCAUCUGUUUUCUGUCGUUCAUUGCAGGAAUCGUUAGACUCUUCAUUUGUUGGAUCUAUAGCUCAGAUUCUGCACUAAAAUAAUAUUGAGACUUCUUGUCUACAAUCCUUGAAUUUCUCUACUUUGGUUGAUUUCAUUGAUUGUUUUUAUAACAUAGUUACAGUUUUGGCUCCAGACAUUUGUCACAUUUCUAGGUAUUCCUGUAUUCAUUCAAAGGGACAUGUAAGUGUUAUGAGGGUAUGUGUUUUUUAUUUACUAAAUUUCUUUCAUGUGCAUGAGUGUUUUUGCUUCAAUGUAUGUGUUCAUCAGUUGGGUGUUUGGUACCCACAGAAAACUAAAGAGGACAUCAGAUGCUCUGCAACAGGAGCUAUGGAUAAUUUUGUGCCACCAUGUUAAUGCUAGUAACAAAUGAUAUUAGCAUGAUGCAUGUUAGAACAAUAUCAGUUGUCUCCUUUAUCCACUUGUACAUGGGCGCUGCCCCUGCCUUUAAUGAUUUAAUAUCUUUUUAAAUAUUCAGUGUUUGCAUUUCCAUAUGCCAAGGUUUCUAUUACCACUUGUCUUCUUUCAGAGUCUGAGACAGCUUUGUUCAUAGCUGAUGUUCUUUGUAAAACAUGAGGCCCAACCAGUCCAGGUAGGGCUUUUAAAAAAAUAAAUUUAUGAGAAGGUCUCUUAUGUUGAUUCAGGUUGCCUUCAUCCCACUAUGUGGCUAUACAGGCCCUGUUCCCUUUCAGAGUCAACAUCCUCAACUCUUGGAUUAAAGGUUUGUAACAUCACACGGUUCU
RNAcentral lists this long non-coding RNA (1559 nucleotides) under Mus musculus (house mouse). RNAcentral describes it as "long non-coding RNA chr10:81997000-81998559". Lineage: Eukaryota; Metazoa; Chordata; Mammalia; Rodentia; Muridae. The record is from RNAcentral.